RNAcentral lists this ribosomal RNA (207 nucleotides) under uncultured bacterium. Its description in RNAcentral is "partial 16S ribosomal RNA". It matches the Rfam family "Bacterial small subunit ribosomal RNA", at positions 568 to 774 of the family's 1533-position model. The record is from RNAcentral.
CGCGUAGGCGGACUUUCAAGUCGGAUGUGAAAACUAUCGGCUCAACUGAUAGCCUGCAUUCGAUACUGUUGGUCUUGAGUACAGGAGAGGAGAGCGGAAUUCCAGGUGUAGCAGUGAAAUGCGUAGAUAUCUGGAAGAACACCGGUAGCGAAGGCGGCUCUCUGGACUGAUACUGACGCUAAAGCGCGAAGGCUUGGGUAGCAAACA